Molecule: RNA transcript, 2125 nt
Organism: Daucus carota subsp. sativus
Lineage: Eukaryota; Viridiplantae; Streptophyta; Magnoliopsida; Apiales; Apiaceae
Exons: 6
Source: RefSeq, a predicted model, not a curated record
AAGAAGGCUCCUGUAUGAUCAGCAGUGCCUCACUUUUUAAAAUUAUCUUCCAAACAUUAGGUUGACAAUAUCAUGGUUUUUGACUGUGGCACAAAAUCAUAAGAUGCUAGCAAACCGUUUCAAAUCACGUCUAUUUUAUUUUCUCUACUCUUUGAAAUUGGCAGAGGGGGGAACUCACAAAAGCUGCUAUAGAACUCCCAAGUCCUCCAGUACAACAGCUUAAGGAACAGGCAGAGGUGGAGGAAUGGCCCCAAAAAUCACUGAACGAAAAACAGCAGGAGUAUCAGGAUUUGCUAAUCCGUUGUAUUGCUCAGCCUCUAGGAUUCUCCAAAGGCAGACCUGUUGCAGCCUGCAUCAUAUACAAAUGCCUGAGGCACUGGAGAUCAUUUGAAGUAGAAAGGGCUAGCAUUUUUGACCGAAUUAUACAGACCAUUGGCCAGGCGAUUGAGACACAAGACGACAACAAAACCUUGGCAUAUUGGUUAUCAAAUGCAUCCACGCUGCUGUUCUUGCUGCAACGUACACUAAAAGCGAGUGCUGCUGCUGGUAUGACUCCACAACAUCGGCGGUCACCAUCAACUUUAUUUGGGAGGAUGACCAGGAGCUUUCGCGGAAUUCCACUUGGCUCUGAUCUUUCUUCUGUUAAUGGUGAGGUGACUGGUGGGGUGGAUACAAUAAGACUACAAAGAAAUUAAGGAGAAUUUGGGAUAAAAGACUGUUAUACAAUCUAACAUACAGUGUAUUGCAGUUGUAUCAUUAUGCUUACCUUGCGCAUAGAGUCUAUAGGGUGGUCAUCUCCAAGUCUAGGGUCCAUCAGUUUGCCGAGGCCUUCUACGGGAUCUGGCUCAUUAAAAGCUUCCUCGAACUGAAAAGUAUUGGAAGCAAAUUAUCAUUAGCUUAUAAAUUAACUAUCAGCAGCUAAUGACAUAGCUGUCCUAUUCAGUUUGGGCACUUGCUAGUACCCCCACUUUCAGUCAUGGUUAUAGUGGUGGCAGAGAUCAUUCUGUAAGUGCUGCGCAACUAAGGUCUUUCUUCUUUUGUUUCUUGUAUUAUAUUUUCUCCAAUGACUGCAGCAGUUGUAUAGUUACGUGUAAUGUGGUUUUUAAAAAAACAAUAGAGAACUAGAGAGAUAAUUUAUGGUAGUUAAGCAUAACAUAUAUAGUUUUUAUUGAAUAGUAUUGUAUAUUUCAGAACAGAUGGUCAUUUUAGUUUACAUUACAAAUAUAUACGUCCAUGUAUUGUUAACCAAAAUGAUUAUUUUAUGUUACAACUAUAUAGCUCAGGUGCUUCAAGUCAUAUAAUAAGGAAAUUAAUGAUUAGAUCUUAACUAGUUGGUCACUUCUUGAUGUAGAAUUAAUUUGAUAAAAAAUCUACAAUUCUUUGGGAUAGAUACUAUGGACAGAAUAAUAUUCGUAGGUCACCUCUUUCUUGUGGAAUUAAUUACCUUGCAGACAUGGCAACACAAGGGAAGCUAAUGCUCUGGGGUGCUUAGUUCUUGCAUAGACUCAUCAUAUCAAAAUAUUAAUAGUCUAAUAGACAGAGGACAACUAUGGAGACUCACAUCAUCUUCAUUUUUGCAUGCAAAUAUUGGACAUCUCCUGGUCUGGUGUUUAUGCAACAUAAAUUAAUCAACCUAUCCCUGAUUUUCAGAAACUCAAUGCCAGGGUAUUUUUCUUGACUCAUUCUUUUUCAACAACCUUCUAAUUAUAAAUUAUAAUUUUUGGUGGAAUGGUGGAAUGGGUGACUAUGUUGCUUGCUUUCUCGCUGUCGAACAUAAGCCUGCUACAACAGACUGUUGAUUUUGAAUGGAAAUCUGCUAUUGCUGCUAAAGUUUGGACUAAUGUUGCGAAAAAAGGCUUAGUCAAUGCAAUUGCGGAGGCAACUAAGGAUGUCACUGAUGGUGAGAGUUCGGAGAAUGACAUGAUGGGGAUGAUGAUGGUGAUGGCGAUGAGGAUGAUUGAAAUGAAUCUAACUAGCUAGAUGCAUUAUUGGUAGGGAUGUUGAUUUUGUUAAAACAUUGGUUUUUUUAACCGAGACCGAACUUAUAACUUUUUUUAUUCAACUGUAACGUAUAUUUGCAUGGUUUCGGUUAUUUUGUUGAAAGAAUUUGUAAAAAUAUAUGAAU